AACGAACGCUGGCGGCAGGCCUAACACAUGCAAGUCGAGCGAGGACUUCGGUUCUAGCGGCGGACGGGUGAGUAACGCGUGGGAAUGUGCCCUUCUCUACGGAAUAGCCCUGGUAAACUGGGAGUAAUACCGUAUAGGCCCUUUUGGGGAAAGAUUUAUCGGAGCAGGAUCAGCCCGCGUUGGAUUAGGUAGUUGGUGGGGUAAUGGCCUACCAAGCCGACGAUCCAUAGCUGGUUGGAGAGGAUGAUCAGCCACACUGGGACUGAGACACGGCCCAGACUCCUACGGGAAGCAGCAGUGGGGAAUCUUAGACAAUGGGGGCAACCCUGAUCUAGCCAUGCCGCGUGAGUGAUGAAGGCCUUAGGGUUGUAAAGCUCUUUCAGCUGGGAAGAUAAUGACGGUACCAGCAGAAGAAGCCCCGGCUAACUCCGUG
Molecule: ribosomal RNA, 433 nt
Filed under: uncultured bacterium
Lineage: Bacteria
Description: partial 16S ribosomal RNA
Rfam family: Bacterial small subunit ribosomal RNA
Source: RNAcentral